This is a non-coding RNA of Sus scrofa (pig), 1692 nucleotides long. The record is from RefSeq and is a predicted model, not a curated record. NCBI's taxonomy places the organism in Eukaryota, Metazoa, Chordata, Mammalia, Artiodactyla, Suidae.
UAGCAAGUUGAAAGGAGCUACCCCAGAGCUGAGGACAAUGAGACUAUAAGAAACAAUGUCUUGGUUCAUAGGACUGUGAUGGAAAAUAAUGUCUCUGCCUUGAUGCUUGGCAGGAUCAGUGAGACCCCAGUUGUUCACAUUACCAGAGAUUCCUGAUGAUGACAUACACACACCUAUGAUUUUUUUCUAUGUCUGAAGAAACUCAACUUUUCGGUCAUUGAGGCUGUUACAGUUUACACAGUAGUUUGGAAAGAGAGAAGCUUCAAAGAUCCUUGAGAUGCAUUGCCUCAUUUAUUCAUCAUGGUGUUCUGAGGUGAGUACAGUUAUUACUAUCCCAUUUCUGCAGAUGAGCAAAAACUUUUGUGGUGCUUGUUACAGGCCAGCAGUGUUCCACGUGUUUUACCUAUAUGAAAUCAUUGAUUAGAUAACCCCCUUUUACUGAUAAGGAGCCUAGGGAGAUUAUGUAGUGAAGAACCUGACAGUUUCACCAACUGCGCUACAGUGUCUCCCGGAGCACAAAGGUACAAGCUUUCUAACCAGCUACUCAAGGUCACACAGCUCUACUAGUGGUAAAAACCAGGGUUUGAACUUAUAUUCUUUCCAUGACACCAAUCUUGACCAAAUUGCGGCUGUUUUGACCACAAAUGUCAGGAUUAUUUAAGUGGCUUUUUUAAAAACUAAUGUCCUCUCCUUUCCCCCAGCUCUACUGAAUCAAAACCACUGGUGCCAAUAUCCUGGCAUCUCGAUUUUCAGCAACCAUUCUAGGAGAUUUCGGUUCACAUUAAACUCAGAGUCCAACUGCGUUAUAAUACACAGAGCAGAUUUCCCGAAAAUGUAAGUGAAAUACCUACUAUAAUUAUAAACUCCAAAUGUCAUUAAUCUUAAGAUUAAAUUUUUUUCAACUUUAAUAUCUCUGAAGUAAGAUGCCUGUUAAAACUGACAGUGUCUUGCAGCCACAGUAAAAAUGUGGAUUUUCUUCUUCUUAGUGGUACAUAAAAUAAUUUUUUAGAUUUCAAAUCAUAUGGCGAUUCACUGGAUGAUCAAAUACAGAAGACAUAGCAUAUUAAAUACUGUUCUUUCCAGUCCUGGGUUUCUGUGAAUAGGUGCCCACCUCCAUGCUGUGAGAGACAGAGUGAUGGAAAUGGGGCUGGAUAUCAUUCAUCAGACCUUGAUUCAUACACACCAUGGGAAAGUCACCAAUCAUUAUGGGUUAGAACAGAUGAAAUAAUCUAUGUGAAAACACUUAGAAAACCAUAAAUCAUUAAAUUAAUGGCAUGUAUGUAUGAAUGUGUGCAUAUGCAUGGGCUUGAAGUAAGAUUAUUAGAGAAAAUGGAAGCAAUUCUAAAAUGCUUAUUUCCAAACUUGGCCCUUGUGCAAUGUAAUAGAUAUGAUGACUCUUAACUUGACUCUUCUUUUUCUAAGACUAGUCAGCAUACCAAUAAAAAUGUUCACUAAUGCUUUCUAUGUUUUAGGACAUUGCUUACAUAGUUUAUGUCAUUUAAGCCUCUUAGCCAUCCUAUAAAAACCAUAUUAUUACUGUGAAUAUUAUACCUAUUUUACAGGAGAGGAAACUGAGUGGUUAGGAUGUUAAAUAAGUUAGCUAAAAUUGUAGAAUGAGAAAGUGGUGGAGAGUGAGUAUGAACAGAAGCAGUUUGAAAUAGGAACUUGCUUGCUGGAGUACAUCCAAGGAAA